ACGAUGAACACUAGGUGUUGGGGGAGUCGAAUCCCUCGGUGCCGCAGCCAACGCGUUAAGUGUUCCGCCUGGGGAGUACGGCCGCAAGGCUAAAACUCAAAAGAAUUGACGGGGGCCCGCACAAGCAGCGGAGCAUGUUCUUUAAUUCGAUGCAACGCGAAGAACCUUACCUGGGCUUGACAUGGUGCUGCAAGCGCACGGAAACGUGUGACCUUCGAGGGUGCACCACAGAUGCUGCAUGGCUGUCGUCAGCUCGUGUCGUGAGAUGUUGGGUUAAGUCCCGCAACGAGCGCAACCCCCGUGGUGUGUUGCCAGCAUUAAGUUGGGGACUCACACCAGACUGCCGGUGACAAACCGGAGGAAGGUGGGGAUGACGUCAAGUCAUCAUGGCUCUUACGCCCAGGGCUAGAAACGUGCUACAAUGGCGCAUACAAUGGGUUGCAAGACCGCGAGGUGGAGCGAAUCUCAUCAAAGUGCGUCUAAGUUCGGAUCGCAGUCUGCAACUCGACUGCGUGAAGGCGGAGUUGCUAGUAAUCGCGGAUCAGCAUGCCGCGGU
Molecule: ribosomal RNA, 556 nt
Filed under: uncultured Rubrobacter sp.
Lineage: Bacteria; Bacillati; Actinomycetota; Rubrobacteria; Rubrobacterales; Rubrobacteraceae
Description: bacterial SSU rRNA
Rfam family: Bacterial small subunit ribosomal RNA
Source: RNAcentral